CUAUGCUGCCGAGAAAAGCCUCUAGUGAGUGUCGUGGCGGCCCGUACCCCAAACCGACUCAGGUGGUCAGGUAGAGAAUACCAAGGCGAUCGGGUGAACUGUGGUUAAGGAACUCGGCAAAUUGCCCCCGUAACUUCGGGAGAAGGGGGGCCUCCGCUGGUGAUCAGACUUGCUUUGUGAGCUGGUGGGGGUCGCAGAGGCCAGGGGGAAGCGACUGUUUACUAAAAACACAGGUCCGUGCGAAGUCGUAAGACGAUGUAUACGGACUGACGCCUGCCCGGUGCUGGAACGUUAAGGGGACCGGUUAGCGCAUCUUCGGGUGUGCGAGGCUGAGAACUUAAGCGCCAGUAAACGGCGGUGGUAACUAUAACCAUCCUAAGGUAGCGAAAUUCCUUGUCGGGUAAGUUCCGACCUGCACGAAUGGCGUAACGACUUCCCCGCUGUCUCAACCGCAGACCCGGCGAAAUUGCACUACGAGUAAAGAUGCUCGUUACGCGCAGCAGGACGGAAAGACCCCGGGACCUUCACUACAGCUUGACAUUGGCGUUUGGAACGUCUUGUGUAGGAUAGGUGGGAGACUGUGAAGCUGUCACGCUAGUGGUGGUGGAGUCAUUGGUGAAAUACCACUCUGGUCGUUUUGAACGUCUAACUUCGGUCCGUGAUCCGGAUCAGGGACAGUGUCUGGUGGGUAGUUUAACAGGGGCGGUUGCCUCCUAAAGAGUAACGGAGGCGCCCAAAGGUUCCCUCAGCCUGGUUGGUAAUCAGGUGUCGAGUGUAAGUGCACAAGGGAGCUUGACUGUGAGACCGACGGGUCGAGCAGGAGCGAAAGCUGGGACUAGUGAUCCGGCGGUGGCAUGUGGAAGCGCCGUCGCUCAACGGCUAAAAGGUACCCCGGGGAUAACAGGCUGAUCUUCCCCAAGAGUCCAUAUCGACGGGAUGGUUUGGCACCUCGAUGUCGGCUCGUCGCAUCCUGGGGCUGGAGUAGGUCCCAAGGGUUGGGCUGUUCGCCCAUUAAAGCGGUACGCGAGCUGGGUUUAGAACGUCGCGAGACAGUUCGGUCCCUAUCCGCUGCGCGCGCAGGAGACUUGAAAGGAGCUGUCCCUAGUACGAGAGGACCGGGACGGACGAACCUCUGGUGUGCCAGUUGUUCCGCCAGGAGCAUGGCUGGUUGGCUACGUUCGGAAGGGAUAACCGCUGAAAGCAUCUAAGCGGGAAGCUCGCCUUGAGAUGAGGUCUCCCACCACGAGAGUGGGUAAGGCCCCCGGGAGACGACCGGGUUGAUAGGCCGGAGGUGGAAGCAUGGUAACGUGUGGAGCUGACCGGUACUAAUAGGCCGAGGACUUGACCAC
Molecule: ribosomal RNA, 1349 nt
Filed under: metagenome
Description: bacterial LSU rRNA
Rfam family: Bacterial large subunit ribosomal RNA
Source: RNAcentral